Molecule: RNA transcript, 2580 nt
Organism: Fukomys damarensis (Damara mole-rat)
Lineage: Eukaryota; Metazoa; Chordata; Mammalia; Rodentia; Bathyergidae
Gene: Selp
Gene name: selectin P
Exons: 17
Source: RefSeq, a predicted model, not a curated record
AGCGAACAGGAAGUAGUUUUUGUAAGCAGCCUGACACUGAGGGGAGCCAGUGAGAAUAUAAGAAGCCCAGGCUGAACAGAAGGUAGAAAGCCAGCCAAGCUACAGAGGAGAUGGCCAACUGCCUAAAAGCCAUUUGGAAUCUGAGAUUCCAGGGAGUGGUCCUCGGAGCUGCCCAACUUCUCUGGCUUGGUGCCUUCAUCUCUGAGCUAGCUAACCAGAAGGAAGUGGCAGCAUGGACCUAUAAUUACACCACAAAAGCAUACUCGUGGAAUUUCUCCCGGAUGUUCUGCCAGAGGCACUUCACAGAUUUAGUGGCCAUCCAGAACAAAAAUGAAAUCGCCUACCUCAAUGACGUCAUACCGCCCUACAGCUCGUACUACUGGAUUGGGAUCCGAAAGAUCAAUAAUACGUGGACCUGGGUGGGAACCAGAAAGCCUCUCACGGAGGAGGCACAGAACUGGGCUGACAAUGAGCCCAACAACAAGGGGAACAACCAAGACUGCGUGGAGAUGUACAUCAAGAGGCUGGAUGCCCCUGGCAAGUGGAAUGACGAGCCCUGCUCCAAAAAGAAGCGAGCCUUGUGCUACACAGCCUCCUGCAAGGCCACAUCCUGCAGCCAACAAGGGGAGUGCGUUGAGACCAUCGGGAACUACACCUGCUCCUGCUACCCAGGCUUCUACGGGGCGGAGUGUGAGUACGUGAGAGAGUGUGGGGAAUUUGGCCUCCCUCCCCACGUGUCCAGGAACUGCGAUCACCCCCUGGGCAGCUUCUCUUUCGACUCAAAGUGCACUUUCCACUGCGCUGAAGGGUACACACUGGAUGGGCCCAGCGAGACAAAAUGCCUGGCUUCCGGGAUCUGGACAAACCAGCCUGCGCGGUGUGUGGCUGUGCAGUGUCAGCACUUGGAAGCCCCUGGCAGUGGGACCAUGGACUGUGUGCAUCCACUGGCCCCCUUUGCAUACGGCUCCAGCUGCAAAUUUAGGUGCCAACCUGGCUAUCGAGUGAGGGGCUUGGACACACUCCGCUGUGCUGGCUCUGGCCAGUGGACCGCAUCCUUGCCAGUCUGUGAAGCCAUCACAUGCAGGCCACUGGAGAGCCCUGUCCACGGGGGCAUGGACUGCUCACCGCCGUCCGGAGCGUUUCAGUACAACACCAGCUGCAGCUUCCACUGUGCAGAGGGCUUCAUGCUGAGUGGCGCUGAUGUCCUUCGGUGCUCCGACUCGGGAGAGUGGACAGCACCAGCCCCAGUCUGCCAAGCUUUGCGGUGCCAGGAUUUCUCUGCUCUGAGCAAGGUUCAGAUGAACUGCUCCCACCCAUUUGGGGCCUUUAGGUACGGGACAGUCUGUGACUUUACCUGUGCUGAAGGUGCGCUCAUGGUGGGAGCAAGUACACUACAGUGCUUGGCUACUGGACACUGGAGUGCUGCCCCUCCAGAAUGCCAAGCCACUCCUUGCACCCCCUUGCGAGGGCCCCAGAACGGAACGAUGAGCUGCAUCCGACCUCUCGGGAGAUACAGUUACAAAUCCACGUGCCACUUCACCUGUGAUGAGGGCUUUUCCUUAUCGGGCUCCGAAAGACUGGACUGCGCUCCAACUGGACAAUGGACAGGCUCCCCACCAACGUGCACAGCCAUCAAGUGCCCAGAACUCUCUGCCCCACAGUGGGGCAGCCUGGACUGUUCUCAAGCUUAUGGAGAAUUCAGUGCUGGCUCCAGAUGCCAUUUCUCCUGUGACCAGGGCUUUAAGCUGGAGGGGUCAAACAAUGUGGAAUGCACAACUUCUGGAAGAUGGUCAGUGCCUCCGCCAACAUGCAAAGCUGUAGGGUCAGCUCCUGUUCCAGCAACGCAAUGUCCAGCCCUCACCACUCCUGCGCAGGGGACCAAGUUCUGCAAGAAUCACCUAGGAACCUUUGGUUGGACCACCACUUGCUCCUUCGGAUGCAAAGCUGGAUUCACACUCGCUGGUGACGACAUUCUCAGAUGCAAGGCUUCAGGACAAUGGACAGCGGCGACCCCGGAAUGCCGAGCCAUCAAAUGCUCUGAACUGCGCAUUAAUAAUGCACUGGUGAUGAACUGCUCCAAUCCCUGGGGAAAGUUCAGCUUUGGCUCAGACUGCAGCUUCCAUUGUCCAGAGGGGCAGUUACUUAACGGAUCCACAAGAGCAACCUGCCAAGACAACGGCCACUGGUCAGCCACCGUGCCCACCUGCCAAGGGGGGGCACUGACUACUCGGGAAGCCCUGACUUACUUUGGUGGGGCAGUGGCUUCCACAACAGGCCUGGCCAUGGGCGGGACUCUCCUAGCUCUGCUAAGAAAGCGUCUCAGAAAAAAAGGUACUAACACACAUAGAAGAAAAAGAAAAAAUGUAACUAAGGACACCGGAGGGACAAUGGAUGCUGAAAUCCUGAUGAUGGAAAACGUCCCUUGAACCCUCAAAGCCACCUAGGUACAUAUGGAGUUUUCACAAAUGUUGCGUUUGAAGAAAACCCUUAAGAGACACAACUUUCUCCUGGUCACCUCAUUCAGCCUCUCAGGAUCCUGCUAAGGAACAUGAACCUUCCUGUUAGACUUGACUUCAUCUG